UACGGAGGGGGCAAGCGUUGUUCGGAAUUAUUGGGCGUAAAGGGCAUGUAGGCGGUUCGGUAAGUUAAAGGUGAAAUGCCAGGGCUUAACCCUGGAGCUGCUUUUAAUACUGCCAGACUAGAGUCCGGGAGAGGAUAGCGGAAUUCCUAGUGUAGAGGUGAAAUUCGUAGAUAUUAGGAGGAACACCAGUGGCGAAGGCGGCUAUCUGGUCCGGUACUGACGCUGAGGUGCGAAAGCGUGGGGAGCA
RNAcentral lists this ribosomal RNA (247 nucleotides) under Anaplasma phagocytophilum. RNAcentral's name for it is "partial 16S ribosomal RNA". It matches the Rfam family "Bacterial small subunit ribosomal RNA", at positions 524 to 770 of the family's 1533-position model. The record is from RNAcentral. Lineage: Bacteria; Pseudomonadati; Pseudomonadota; Alphaproteobacteria; Rickettsiales; Anaplasmataceae.